This 1185-nucleotide long non-coding RNA is filed under the name Neogobius melanostomus (round goby). Its description in RNAcentral is "lncRNA (ENSNMLG00000019315.1)". The record is from RNAcentral. Lineage: Eukaryota; Metazoa; Chordata; Actinopteri; Gobiiformes; Gobiidae.
AUGGAUGGAAGAUUGAAUUUUGGACCCUUGAUUUUUCCACUUGGACUAUCAAGUUCAACUUCAGGUCCUUUUAUGUCCAGUUUGGGAGCAUCAACAUCAAUAUUGGCUUUAGGGAGAUUUACAUCAAUAUCUGGGCCUUCUACUUUUGGACCUUUAAAUCCAAAUGAUGGCAUUUUGAAUUUUGGCAUUUCAAAACUUCCUUUUGAACCUUCAAUGUCCAUUUCAGGACCUUUGAUGUCAACGUUAGGAAGAUUCACAUCUCCCUCUAUCUUAGGUGCAGACAGAUCGACAUCACCCUUGAUCUUUGGACCUUUCAGGUUGAAGUCUACAUCAGGCAUAGAAAGUUUUGGUCCAGAAAUGGAUGGAAGAUUGAAUUUUGGACCCUUGAUUUUUCCACUUGGACUGUCAAGUUCAACUUUAGGUCCUUUUAUGUCCAGUUUGGGAGCAUCAACAUCAAUAUUGGCUUUAGGGAGAUUUACAUCAAUAUCUGGGCCUUCUACCUUUGGACCUUUAAAUCCAAAUGAUGGCAUUUUGAAUUUUGGCAUUUCAAAAUUUCCUUUUGAACCUUCAAUGUCCAUUUCAGGACCUUUGAUGUCAACGUUAGGAAGAUUCACAUCUCCCUCUAGCUUAGGUGCAGACAGAUCAACAUCACCCUUGAUCUUUGGACCUUUUAGGUUGAAGUCUACAUCAGGCAUAGACAUGUUUGGUCCAGAAAUGGAUGGAAGAUUGAAUUUUGGUCCCUUGAUUUUUCCACUUGGACUGUCAAAUUCAACUUCAGGUCCUUUUAUGUCCAGUUUGGGAGCAUCAACAUCAAUAUUGGCUUUAGGGAGCUUUACAUCAAUAUCAGGGCCUUCUACCUUUGGACCUUUAAAACCAAAUGAUGGCAUUUUGAAUUUUGGCAUUUCAAAACUUCCUUUUGAACCUUCAGUGUCCAUUUCAGGACCUUUGAUGUCAAUGUUAGGAAGAUUCGCAUCUCCCUCUAUCUUCGGUGCAGACAGAUCAACAUCACCCUUGAUCUUUGGACCUUUUAGGUUAAAGUCAACAUCAGGCAUAGAGAUUUUAGGUCCGGUAAUCGAUGGAAGAUUGAAUUUUCCACCUACACUUGUAUCAGCUUCUGGGACUUUGAUAUCCACUUUUGGAGCUUUAACAUCAAUGUCAGUUUUGGGACGUUUCACAUCAACCUGA